CAGGAUGUGAGCUCACACAGGGGUCACAGGGCAGUGUGUGAGCUCACACAGGGGUCACAGGACAGGGUGUGAGCUCACACAGGGGUCACAGGGCAGUGUGGGUGGGUGGCAGUGUGUGGGUCUGCACAAAUGUGUCUGGAUAUGCAGCACAUGGGCUGGCACAGGGCAUUUGUGCAUCCAAGAGCAAACAGGAGACUACACCUGGGGCUUCUCAAAGAUACACAAAGAGACAGUGAGAGGCAGCAGCAGGAGCCCACAAAGACGUGGACAAAUCAUGAGGCCACUAACCACUGAAAAGACCUGGGACAAGGUUCAGCAGCAUCUGGCAAAUGUAGAAUCUGCUCAAAAAAUGUUUAUGGAAGAAGAAAAAAAUCACAAAACCUUGAGGAAAGAAAGAAGACAGGCAGCAACCCUGUGAGACCCUUACCUCAGGAGAGGGAAGCAGGAAACAUAAGGAGACAUUUAUUUUAAGUAAACUAUAAAUAUCAGACUACAACAAAUUAAUGUAAGAAAAGAAAAGUUGGUCUGAAUCCAAAGAUUUACAAAAGGUCCUGAGCAAAUGUGUGAUUGAGACUGGCAAUGUGGUGUGUGUGUGUGAUGGUGUGUGUGCUAAUCAAGGGCUACAUCACCAGAUAUGGCAUCAUCCCCCAAAUUAAAAAUAGAGGAAAUUCAAAAUUGAGACAAAAGUGUGUCGGAGUCUCAUGGCUGAUGAUAAGAGUCCAAUCAGUGGGUGGAAAGUGAGAGUGGAGCAUGUACCUCUGAAAAUGCCUGCUGCAGCUGGGAGCAGUUCUGUGCUGCCAUGCCAUGCUGCCAUCCCCAGCACUGCCAGU
This 830-nucleotide long non-coding RNA is filed under the name Cyanistes caeruleus (blue tit). RNAcentral describes it as "lncRNA (ENSCCEG00000020845.1)". Lineage: Eukaryota; Metazoa; Chordata; Aves; Passeriformes; Paridae. The record is from RNAcentral.